This 29-nucleotide non-coding RNA is filed under the name Mus musculus (house mouse). Lineage: Eukaryota; Metazoa; Chordata; Mammalia; Rodentia; Muridae. The record is from RNAcentral.
UUUCNGUUUAGUGCUGUCCGUCCGUCUCA